This 675-nucleotide ribosomal RNA is filed under the name alpha proteobacterium IMCC14313. RNAcentral describes it as "bacterial SSU rRNA". It matches the Rfam family "Bacterial small subunit ribosomal RNA", at positions 38 to 749 of the family's 1533-position model. The record is from RNAcentral. Lineage: Bacteria; Pseudomonadati; Pseudomonadota; Alphaproteobacteria.
GGCGGCAGGCUUAACACAUGCAAGUCGAACGAGAAACUGACUUCGGUCAGCAGACAGUGGCAGACGGGUGAGUAACGCGUGGCAACCUACCUUUUUCUACGGAACAACAGUUGGAAACGACUGCUAAUACCGUAUACGCCCUCCGGGGGAAAGAUUUAUCGGUGAAAGAUGGGGCCGCGUUAGAUUAGCUAGUUGGUAAGGUAAUGGCUUACCAAGGCGACGAUCUAUAGCUGGUCUGAGAGGAUGAUCAGCCACACUGGGACUGAGACACGGCCCAGACUCCUACGGGAGGCAGCAGUGGGGAAUAUUGGACAAUGGGGGCAACCCUGAUCCAGCCAUGCCGCGUGAAUGAUGAAGGCCUUAGGGUUGUAAAAUUCUUUCGCUAGGGAUGAUAAUGACAGUACCUAGUAAAGAAGCCCCGGCUAACUCCGUGCCAGCAGCCGCGGUAAUACGGAGGGGGCUAGCGUUGUUCGGAAUUACUGGGCGUAAAGCGUGCGUAGGCGGAUUAUUAAGUUAGGGGUGAAAUCCCGGGGCUCAACCUCGGAACUGCCUCUAAAACUGGUAAUCUAGAGAUAUGGAGAGGUAAGUGGAAUUCCUAGUGUAGAGGUGAAAUUCGUAGAUAUUAGGAGGAACACCAGAGGCGAAGGCGGCUUACUGGACAUAUACUGACGCUGA